Molecule: ribosomal RNA, 492 nt
Filed under: uncultured bacterium
Lineage: Bacteria
Description: partial 16S ribosomal RNA
Rfam family: Bacterial small subunit ribosomal RNA
Source: RNAcentral
AGUGAACGCUGGCGGUAGGCCUAACACAUGCAAGUCGAACGGCAGCACAGUAAGAGCUUGCUCUUACGGGUGGCGAGUGGCGGACGGGUGAGGAAUACAUCGGAAUCUACUUUUUCGUGGGGGAUAACGUAGGGAAACUUACGCUAAUACCGCAUACGACCUACGGGUGAAAGCAGGGGAUCUUCGGACCUUGCGCGAUUGAAUGAGCCGAUGUCGGAUUAGCUAGUUGGCGGGGUAAAGGCCCACCAAGGCGACGAUCCGUAGCUGGUCUGAGAGGAUGAUCGGCCACACUGGAACUGAGACACGGUCCAGACUCCUACGAGAGGCAGCAGUGGGGAAUAUUGGACAAAGGGCGCAAGCCUGAUCCAGCCAUACCGCGUGGGUGAAGAAGGCCUUCGGGUUGUAAAGCCCUUUUGUUGGGAAAGAAAAGCAGCAGGUUAAUACCCCGCUGUUCUGACGGUACCCAAAGAAUAAGCACCGGCUAACUUCGUG